This 440-nucleotide ribosomal RNA is filed under the name uncultured bacterium. RNAcentral's name for it is "partial 16S ribosomal RNA". It matches the Rfam family "Bacterial small subunit ribosomal RNA", at positions 338 to 795 of the family's 1533-position model. The record is from RNAcentral.
CCUACGGGAGGCAGCAGUGGGGAAUAUUGCACAAUGGGGGAAACCCUGAUGCAGCGACGCCGCGUGAGUGAAGAAGUAAUUCGUUAUGUAAAGCUCUAUCAGCAGGGAAGAAAAUGACGGUACCUGAGUAAGAAGCCCCGGCUAACUACGUGCCAGCAGCCGCGGUAAUACGGAGGGGGCAAGCGUUAUCCGGAUUUACUGGGUGGAAAGGGAGCGUAGACGGCAAUGCAAGUCUGGAGUGAAAGGCGGGGGCUCAACCCCCGGACUGCUCUUGAAACUGUACGGCUGGAGUGCAGGAGAGGUAAGUGGAAUUCCUAGUGUAGCGGUGAAAUGCGUAGAUAUUAGGAGGAACACCAGUGGCGAAGGCGGCUUACUGGACUGUAACUGACGUUGAGGCUCGAAAGCGUGGGGAGCAAACAGGAUUAGAUACCCCUGUAGUC